RNAcentral lists this long non-coding RNA (1823 nucleotides) under Solanum tuberosum (potato). RNAcentral's name for it is "long non-coding RNA (STUB_LNC004543)". The record is from RNAcentral. Lineage: Eukaryota; Viridiplantae; Streptophyta; Magnoliopsida; Solanales; Solanaceae.
UGUUCCUUUUUCAUCUACCUUGUGGUAUAAGAUUAAUGUUUUAUGUUGAGAAAUUGUUAUUGUUGAAGUCAUAUACAAUAAAUUGAGAGCUAUUUGUUCGAACCAAAAGUUUUUUUACUGGUAUUCUGUUCUGCAUAAUGAUUCUUGACAUGGAUAUACUUUGGCUCCUCCUUAACUUGUACAGGGUACCUUAAUCAAAGGAGAAUCUAGAAAUUCUAGAAUGUGCACUACUUAAAACAGAAAAUAGUUAUUAAAUACUAAGUUUAGUGUGCUAAAAAUUAAUUGGUUCAAUUAUUAAACAAGAUAGCUUCAUCCUUUGUAUCUAGUCAUGCUAGAUAGGUCAUGGCCCGUGCAAAGCACGGGCCCAAUACAAUUAGUGUAGGUUAUUCACUUAAAAUAGAAAAACUUACCUGAAAAUUAUCUUUUAAGACUUUGAUGAAUAGAGAUACAUUUGUGGUUUCACAUCAUUAUUCCACCAGUAAGGCUCACAAAUACGUUAAUAUAAACAACAAUUGAACAAAUAUAAUAAUAUUUGGUGUAUGUAUAAAUUUUUUGAUGUGAACUCUUGAACAUGUGGUCUUUGCACUUUCAUUGAUAUACUAAAAGCAGCAGCCCAUUAAACCAGCAAAACUUGUGUGGGGGAUGGAGAGCAUGGCGUUGAUAGGAGUUCCUAAUCUUCUUUCAACUUCAAGCAAAGAGGAAUUUCUUCAGAUAUAGCACGCCUACAACUCGAUGUUCAACAUAUAAAGACCUGCCAUGAAACAAUAUAAAUACUUAGAACAAAUCAUAUGAUAUUUCAUAAAACAAAAAAAAGUCACAUUAUUGAUGAGAAGGAAAUAAAUAGCAGUAGUCUGCUAGCAGAAAUAUACCAUUAACUUUAGCUUGAUUAUCAUAAAUGUUGUAGAAAGAUAAAACAGUGAACUUCAGUCUCCACACUAACACAAACUCGAUUUACAAAAUUUGAAAAAAAUGAUAUUUUCAAAAAAAGAAAAAAAAAAAGAAGUUCAAACUUAAAACAUGAAAAUGUGUAAAUGACUAAAUGUUAAGAAAAUGCUAUCUACAACACACUCCACAACUUCAACCAAUCCAAAAUUUAUCAUCCAUGUGUUUGUUUGCUAGUUCUUUUCUCUUAUCCUUCAUUUUUUUGUUUCUUUUUUGGAAAAUUGUAAGAUAUAUUAUCUAAAGGAACUUCAUUUUACCAAUUUCUACAGUUAUAAGAAGCCACCCAUUGUUUUUCGAUAUGUAUUCUGCAAUAUUAGAGUAAAUUUUCAUACUCAGGAGUCGCGCCGGUCGUUAUGACUUUCAAUCCAAAGGCCAACAAAAGAGUAGUACACUUUCAUCGGUGAAAACUUUCAAAAGUCACAAACUAAAUAAUUAAGAGUAUAGCAAAACAUCACUUGUGCAGAAGCUGGAUUAAAAAAAAUAGUACCUGAAAAUAAUAGCAGUGUCAUUCCUAAAUUUCUCUAGCGUCUUUCCAUAAUCUUAAGAAAGGAAGCAUUUCAAAGAUCCUAAGACAAUUUCUCAUAGCUUUUUGUCUCUGCUGUCGCGACAAUCUGCCAAAGAAAAAAACAUAACCCAAAAUAAAAAGUCAUGUUCUUUUCUUCAAUAUCAUCAAACAAUCCAGAUGCAAAGGCAAGUACCGAAAAAUUCAUCGUACCAAAAACCAUUCCGAUUGAAGCAGAGGAAACUAUUCAUUCAUUAACUUUGUUAGCGGAAGCGUGAAAUUAAAGAACAAGGAAGAACAACAAUAUUUAACGUGAUUUGGAUAAAAAAUGAUCUUACGUCCACCAAAGAACAACUGCACUAAUAUUUAUUCACUCUAC